Molecule: long non-coding RNA, 3907 nt
Filed under: Sus scrofa (pig)
Lineage: Eukaryota; Metazoa; Chordata; Mammalia; Artiodactyla; Suidae
Description: lncRNA (ENSSSCG00055001539.1)
Source: RNAcentral
GUGUCCUUGGAGCCGUAUCUUCGCGGUACCUCCUAGAGCUUCACCGGCAGAGCACCGUGUCAAACUUCUGAAUUUUUGCCAGUCGGAUGGAGGAGAAAUGGCACCUCAGCCUGGCCUCCCUCAGCAUCUCUCUUAUAUGAGCAAAGUUAAUGCCUUCUCAUGUAUCCAAGGACCAUUUUUGCAACCUUUUGGGGAAACUGUUUUUCUUGCCCUUUGCUCAUUUUUCUCCAUGAUUUUUGCGCUUUUGUUUCUCGACUUUUAAAAAGUUCCUUGUAUAUGAAAGCCAUUCACCUUUUAUCAGUGAAAGCACGGGCUCAUCAAGAAGCUCUGGUUUUCUCCUGCCCGGACCCUCCCACGGAGCCUGCGGCCAGGAGCAGAGGCCCAGAGAGGUUCAAAAGCUGGCCCGAGACGCACAGCAAGGAAGCGUAAGGAGGUGUUGGAGGCGAACGAACUUCGCGCUCUCUGCUGCGCUGGGGCAGCUGGGAAUUGCACUCAGCCAGGGCCCUGGGUCCUUUGGAGGGGACCCCGGCUCCCAUGGCUCUGAGCACUGCUGCUCCUUCGGACCAGGAGGAAGCCAGCAGGAAGCAUGUUGGCACAGCCUCGGUGGAAGCGAAAGACCACACGCUGGAAUCCCAAAGCUUCAACUAUUCAUCAGCUGCCCAGUGCGCCAGUGGCGGUUCGGAGUGGCUGUUAACCUGGCGUUGACGCUAAACCUGGAGCAACAAGGACCGAAAUUCAGCCCAAACGACUGUUGGCACCUCCCCCUCUGAGGUCUCGUGGAAAUUGGAUGAUCAAUUUUUAAGUGGCUUUAAUGAAAUAUUAGUUCCUUCUCCUUUGAAAUCGAUUUCACCAAAGCCAAAGCUUUAGAUCAGGUGAAAUCGCUCUUGGAAUAUGCCAGAGACAGGAUCCACCAACAGGCAGGUCUUCUCCGCCACUGACUGCCGGGAAGUGUCAAAGAACUGGGAGCCAGAGAUGGUUCUAUGGUCUCGGGAGGGAGCAGGGCCCAUGCUUUCCUCACCAGUCCCUGACUCAGGGGGUGGCAGUGAGUGCCAGGGAGUGACUGGCAGCGUCCCGACAGAGUGAAAGAAUGAGCGAAUGAAUACGCACGAAGCCAGCCUGUUAGGCUCCAUCACGGAAAUGCUUGCUUUGCCUCCAGGGAGUCAGCUGAAGACCCAGUGAAACAAAAGCUUUCCCAGGUGACCCUGGGAACCCCUGCGUCUCCUCCGGGGGUCCCGGACCUGGUGGGGGAAGCACACCAACGCUCCACCUGCUGGCCCCCACCCCGACCCAGGCCCCCGGGGCAAUGACGAUGGCAAGAACAUCCGCCUCUGUCUACACAGCAGAGACCGACACGGUCCUGUCCCCCGGAAGCGCAGGCGAAGAAGGAAGCAGGCGGCGCCCUGCCAGGAGAGGCAGAGCAGGGAGGGGCUUCUGCCCAGAGGAGUUCUUUUUUGGGGCGGGGGGGGUGUCACAAAACUUCUCCCGUGAAGUUUUCCCGAGUUCUAACCUUCUGCCGGGGGGCAGGAAUACCAGGUAAGGUGUGCGCCAAGUGCCAAGGCUGGAGCGGAGGCAGGGAGAGGGAGGGCACCCAUUUCCAAGGACACUGGGACUGUGACCUUGAAGCCAGUCCGGUGUGGGGCCUCAGGUGAUUCAGGCCCGCACCCACCCCCCGCCCCCGCCGUGGGAAGUGAGGGGACCCCUGCCAGAGGCAGGAUGCUACAUCUGGGCUAAUUCAGAAGAAGGAUGCAGGUUCACCGGGCAGGGCAGGCUGGGGGUGGGGGCAAGGCCAGCAUGCACUGCGUAUGUCCCAGGCAUCAGGGCGGUACUAGGGGGUCGACCAGACUUGUGCCAUAAGCUCACUGGAGAGAAGCAGCCUCGACUGCCCCACCUCCCUGGGGAUGGAGAGGCAGCUGCCACUGGGUGCAGGUGUUAGCUGGGUUGCAGGUGUCCCCACACCCACCGGGGGAGCCCGGCUGUCCGGUUGCAGCUGGGAGUGGUGGGCCAAGUGGGAGGGCUGCUCCCCCCACCGACUUGCUGACCAGCCACAGGCCAGGGGGCUGGAGCCGGGGGGAGGAGAGGAGAGGCUGCUGUGCCUGGGCUGGGGGUCAACCCCACACAGGGGCUGGGCCCUGAGAGCCCCGGUCAGCGAGCGGAGCCCUGGGAACUGUGCUCAGGGCUGCGGGAGACGUGCACAGACCCCCAUCAGCCUCCUCGGGACCCGCUGCCAGCGGAAGGCAGCGUCUGGUUUUUCCUUUUCUCUUUACAAAGAUAAACCGCUCCCGCUGCCGAAAUGUGGGAAAACGAAAGAAGACAACGGACACGAGAAUCACCUUCACGGCACCCAGCUGCACGGCCGCGGCCGUGGACGUGGCAGAGGCGGGGUCCCUCACAGCCGUGACCGGGGUGGGAGGGGACGAGACUCCAGUGACUGGAGUCAGGUCCUCUUGUCUUCAGGUCACAAAUGAUUGGCAAAAAGCCAUAUCGGGGCUCGACUCAUACGGUCAGAAGUGCAAAUGCAGGGAAGGCGAGGUCGCUGAGGCCGGCUGAGACCCCAGCUAGCUCGGAGGCCACCAGUGGCUUGACGACAGGGGCGCGGGGACCCUGUAGGGUGAGUCUGGAGAGCGGGCGGCGGUGGCCCCACUGCGGACAAGCCAUGGGCACCCUGGCUCAAGGCUCCCCCCAGACCCGAGUGCAGCCCAUCCCCGGAGACCCUCCUCUGGCUUGACGGGGGAAGGUGGGGGUCUGAGGCCCUGGACCGGCGGGGGAUGGCAGCAGGAGCGGUUCUGAGCGGCCUCCGGAGGCCUGGGUGGGGGCUCGCGGGGGAGAAGUCGCCCCCGCGUCACGUGCUAUGGGAGCCUCCCCGCUUGGCAUCGUUAUAACCUUUUUAAUUCCCUGGGAAAAAAGACGUGAAAGCCACAUCAGCUGGGCCGUGGGCUGAGGUUUAAAUGUGAUUGAAACUGCGGCGUGACUGGGGAGAAGGUUGACUGGUCUGCACAGCCUGCCUGGCUGGGUUUUAUGCCCACUGGACUCUGCCCUCGGAGGGAGUCAGGUGAGCGAGGCCGUGGUGAGGAAGUGGAGGCUGUGCGCCCAGACUAGGUCCGCCCUCUCUGGUCCUCGUUGAAUCCGGGGGUCCAGGAGCUAAGGAAAGGCGUGUCUUCACUUCUCCGGGUCCCGCAGGGGCGGCGUCGGGGGAUCGGGGGGCUGCCCCAGGCCUGCGGGCUGUUCAGACACAGCCCUGAGACCCACCUUCCCCCACGGCCGCCCCCCAUGGCCAUGUCCACCUGGACGGGGAGAUCUGGCCUGGAUGGGGCGGGGGCAAGGGUGCCACUUUCAGCCAAGUAGGACGACUGAUGGUUACACUGUGGGCCUGGCACUUGCUUCCCCAGCCGGAAGCAUGUCUGUGCCGCUUACCGCUCGGCCGCGACGAGCCUCAGCUUCCCCUCUGUAGAGUGGGAGUGGGGGCCCGGCUCAGCUCUGAGCUUGGAUGUGCUAGCCCUGGGGCCCCGCCCGCCUCGUCUCCCUUAGUCACUGUGGUCCUUGCUGAGGGCCUGGCGGGUGGGGAGAGAAGAUGGGGUGCUGGGCGGGGGCCCCUGGAUGUGCCGACUGAGGCCGGGGCCCCCAGUGCACAGUCCCGCCUUCCAGGCCCCCAGCAGGACCAGCAGCCAGGCGUCCACUCACACAGCCCCAGGCAGACGGCUGGACCCAGAGCCGUCAUUUUUCUUCAAAACGCCUUUUCCAGCAAGAAGUCCAAACACGAGGACGCCAGCCUGAGCUGACACAUUGUGGUUGUGACACGUUUUAAAUAGCUUUCACUAAUUGUGCUCAUUGCUCAUCUCUUCCUACCAUUUCAUAAAUUGCAUUUAAUUGUUUUGGGGUUGCUUCUUUAAAAAUAAAUUGUUACCUAGAA